ACUGAAGUUGUUGCUCUGCUACCGGUGUUUUUUGUGGAUCUAAACUUUCGAGAUAAAUAUAUUUUUUUAGAACUAUUUGAGCUAGUUUAGUUUUAUUACGGUAUAUUAGUUAUUUCUAGAGACGUUACAUAAAGGAUAACAUCUAUUUUUGGACAACGCCGCGUGAUUACCAAACUAGUCGAAACACAAAUUAUAAAAAAUAUGACGAUUCUGUAAUAGAAAUAGCACUACACGAGUACAAUAGCUCUAACCUUUCCUUUAAAGAUGUUUCACGGAAAUACGAUAUACCGAAAUCAGUCCUGCAUCGACACAACACCCGUGUCAUGAAAAAACAAGGAGGCCAAACUGCCCUAAGCCGGGCUGAAGAAGCGUACUUAGUAGAGUACGUAAAUGUAUGUUCAGAAUGGGGAUAUCCUCUAGAACCCAUUGAUUUUAGAUUGCUGAUAAAAGGAUACCUGGAUAAAAUGGGAGUUGAUAUCAAAA
Long non-coding RNA from Leptidea sinapis, 483 nucleotides. RefSeq lists it as uncharacterized. The transcript is spliced from 2 exons. The record is from RefSeq and is a predicted model, not a curated record. NCBI's taxonomy places the organism in Eukaryota, Metazoa, Arthropoda, Insecta, Lepidoptera, Pieridae.